UACGUAGGGUGCGAGCGUUGUCCGGAAUUACUGGGCGUAAAGAGCUCGUAGGUGGUUUGUCGCGUUGUUCGUGAAAUCUCACGGCUUAACUGUGAGCGUGCGGGCGAUACGGGCAGACUAGAGUGAUGUAGGGGAGACUGGAAUUCCCGGUGUAGUGGUGAAAUGCGUAGAGAUCGGGAGGAACACCAGUGGCGAAGGCGGCCGGCUGGGGGUGACCUGACGCUGGAGGCGCGAAAGCGUGGGGAGCGAACCGG
RNAcentral lists this ribosomal RNA (254 nucleotides) under uncultured bacterium. Its description in RNAcentral is "partial 16S ribosomal RNA". It matches the Rfam family "Bacterial small subunit ribosomal RNA", at positions 524 to 776 of the family's 1533-position model. The record is from RNAcentral.